This 67-nucleotide transfer RNA is filed under the name Elodia flavipalpis. Its description in RNAcentral is "tRNA-Cys". Lineage: Eukaryota; Metazoa; Arthropoda; Insecta; Diptera; Tachinidae. The record is from RNAcentral.
AGCUUUAUAGUCAAUAAUGAUAUUAGACUGCAAUUCUAAAGGAGUAAAAUUAAAAUUACUAAGGCUU